GGCGGACGCGGGUGCCGGUAAAGAGUCCGGAGCUGCCAAAGUCACCCAAGCUGACCCCGCAGGAGAAGCUCCGGCUCAGGAUGCAGAAGGCGCUCAACAGGCAGUUCAAGGCCGACAAGAAGGCGGCGCAGGAGAAGAUGCUGCAGCAGGAGCAUGAGAGACAGG
Molecule: long non-coding RNA, 165 nt
Organism: Camarhynchus parvulus
Lineage: Eukaryota; Metazoa; Chordata; Aves; Passeriformes; Thraupidae
Exons: 3
Source: RefSeq, a predicted model, not a curated record